AGAUUGAACGCUGGCGGCAUGCCUAACACAUGCAAGUCGAACGGGAGUAGCAAUACUCUAGUGGCGGACGGGUGAGGAAUACGUAGGAAUUUGCCCUUAAGUGGGGGAUAACCCGGGGAAACCCGGAUUAAUACCGCAUGACCUCGAAAGAGCAAAGUGGGGGAUCGCAAGACCUCACGCUUUUGGAGAAGCCUACGUCGGAUUAGCUAGUUGGUGAGGUAAUGGCUCACCAAGGCGACGAUCCGUAACUGGUCUGAGAGGAUGAUCAGUCACACCGGAACUGAGACACGGUCCGGACUCCUACGGGAGGCAGCAGUGGGGAAUAUUGGACAAGUGGGCGCAAGCCUGAUCCAGCAAUGCCGCGUGUGUGAAGAGGUCCUUGGGUUAGUAAAGCUACGUUUAAGUAGGAAAGAAAAACUCGACUACUAACAC
This 432-nucleotide ribosomal RNA is filed under the name uncultured soil bacterium. RNAcentral's name for it is "bacterial SSU rRNA". It matches the Rfam family "Bacterial small subunit ribosomal RNA", at positions 26 to 464 of the family's 1533-position model. The record is from RNAcentral.